CCGCGACACUGCCGGGCCGGGGCCGCACCAGGAGCUCUCUGAAGUACCAACAGCGUAGACAGAGGCAGGACAUGAGGUUGGGUUAUAGGGUUACGACAUAUUUUGCAUAAACAUCACAUGAGAGAAAACCACCGGACUUCUAUUCAUACCGGUUCACGCCACUUGUUCAUCCACAUUCACAGAAAAAAAUACCUAGAGCAGGGAGCAGUGAAGUGUCUUUGCCAAAAGUUCCCGUUGGAAUGCCUCACAUCAAUGCAGCUGCAGCUCUGCAGAUUUCCAUGCUGCUCUUUGCUCUUCCUGCACAGUAUUUCAUAUCUCAGUGGUACGGAACGGACUCUGCCGAGCGCAUCCAAAUAACAGGAAGGAUAAUUGCCUCUUGGAGCAUCUCAACAAGAUCUUACUUGAGUCUGGAUGCGUGGGCAGAUCGUUUAAAGCUGUGGCUCUCAAAGAC
Long non-coding RNA from Melospiza melodia melodia, 451 nucleotides. RefSeq lists it as uncharacterized. The record is from RefSeq and is a predicted model, not a curated record. The transcript is spliced from 3 exons. Lineage: Eukaryota; Metazoa; Chordata; Aves; Passeriformes; Passerellidae.